Molecule: ribosomal RNA, 497 nt
Filed under: uncultured bacterium
Lineage: Bacteria
Description: partial 16S ribosomal RNA
Rfam family: Bacterial small subunit ribosomal RNA
Source: RNAcentral
GAUGAACGCUGGCGGCGUGCCUAAUACAUGCAAGUCGAGCGAACGGACGAGAAGCUUGCUUCUCUGAUGUUAGCGGCGGACGGGUGAGUAACACGUGGAUAACCUACCUAUAAGACUGGGAUAACUUCGGGAAACCGGAGCUAAUACCGGAUAAUAUUUUGAACCGCAUGGUUCAAAAGUAAAAGACGGUCUUGCUGUCACUUAUAGAUGGAUCCGCGCUGCAUUAGCUAGUUGGUAAGGUAACGGCUUACCAAGGCAACGAUGCAUAGCCGACCUGAGAGGGUGAUCGGCCACACUGGAACUGAGACACGGUCCAGACUCCUACGGGAGGCAGCAGUAGGGAAUCUUCCGCAAUGGGCGAAGGCCUGACGGAGCAACGCCGCGUGAGUGAUGAAGGUCUUCGGAUCGUAAAACUCUGUUAUUAGGGAAGAACAUAUGUGUAAGUAACUGUGCACAUCUUGACGGUACCUAAUCAGAAAGCCACGGCUAACUACGUG